Molecule: ribosomal RNA, 643 nt
Filed under: uncultured bacterium
Lineage: Bacteria
Description: bacterial SSU rRNA
Rfam family: Bacterial small subunit ribosomal RNA
Source: RNAcentral
CUACCUCGAAGUGGGGAUAGCUCGGCGAAAGCCGGAUUAAUACCGAAUGUGAUCGUGAGAUCAAAGCUGGGGAUCGUAAGACCUGGCGCUUUGAGAUGGGGCUGCGGCCUAUCAGCUAGUUGGCGGGGUAACGGCCCACCAAGGCUUAGACGGGUAGCUGGUCUGAGAGGACGACCAGCCACACUGGAACUGAGACACGGUCCAGACACCUACGGGUGGCAGCAGUCGAGGAUUUUUCUCAAUGGGGGAAACCCUGAAGGAGCGACGCCGCGUGAGGGAUGAAGGUCUUCGGAUUGUAAACCUCUGUCAUCUGGGAACAAAGUGCUCUACCUAACACGUGGAGUAUUGAUAGUACCGGAAGAGGAAGCAGUGGCUAACUCUGUGCCAGCAGCCGCGGUAAUACAGAGACUGCAAGCGUUGUUCGGAUUCAUUGGGCGUAAAGGGUGCGCAGGCGGUGUGUUAAGUCGGAUGUGAAAUCUCACAGCCUAACUGUGAUAGGUCAUUCGAAACUGGCAUGCUAGAGGACUGGAGAGGAGACUGGAAUGGUCGGUGUAGCGGUGAAAUGCGUAGAGAUCGACCAGAACACCGGUGGCGAAGGCGGGUCUCUGGACAGUUCCUGACGCUCAGGCACGAAAGCCAGGGG